Nomascus leucogenys (northern white-cheeked gibbon) is the source of this 493-nucleotide RNA transcript. It is a transcript of the gene named 40S ribosomal protein S25 pseudogene, with no coding region annotated. The record is from RefSeq and is a predicted model, not a curated record. The transcript has a single exon. NCBI's taxonomy places the organism in Eukaryota, Metazoa, Chordata, Mammalia, Primates, Hylobatidae.
GUCCAACAUCUUGGCGAGGCUGCGGUGUCUGCUGCUACUCUCUGAGCUUCGCAAUGCAGCCCAAGGAUGACAAGAAGAAGAAGGACGCUGGAAAGUCGACCAAGAAAGACAAAGACCCAGUGAACAAAUACGGGGGCAAGGCCAAAAAGAAGUAGUGGUCCAAAGGCAAAGUUUGGGACAAGCUGAAUAACUUAGUCUUGUUUGACAAAGCUACCUAUGACAAACUCUGUAAGGAAGUUCCCAACUAUAAACUUAUAACCCCAGCUGUGGUCUCUGAGAGACUGAAGAUUCGAGGCUCCCUGGCCAGGGCAGCCCUUCAGGAGCUCCUUAGUAAAGGACUUAUCAAACUGGUUUCAAAGCACAGAGCUCAAGUAAUUUACACCAGAAAUACCAAGGGCGGAGAUGCUCCAGCUGCUGGUGAAGACGAACGAAUAGGUCCAACCAACUGUGCAUUUGGAAAAAUAAAACUUUAUUAAAUAAAAAAAAAAAAGAU